CCGCAGUCCGAGUGGUGGUCGAUUUUAUUGGGCCUAAAGCGUCCGUAGCCGGUCUGGAAAAUGCCUGGGUAAAUCGUCUGGCUCAACCAGACGAAUUCCGGGCAGACUACCAGACUUGGGACCGGUUGAGGGAGAGGGUACUUCAGGGGUAGGAGUGAAAUCUUGUAAUCCCUGAAGGACCACCAGUGGCGAAGGCGCUCUCCUAGAACGGGUCCGACGGUGAGGGACGAAAGCCAGGGGAGCAAACCGGAUUAGAUACCCGAGUAGUCC
This 270-nucleotide ribosomal RNA is filed under the name uncultured archaeon. Its description in RNAcentral is "partial 16S ribosomal RNA". It matches the Rfam family "Archaeal small subunit ribosomal RNA", at positions 477 to 747 of the family's 1478-position model. The record is from RNAcentral.